Molecule: transfer RNA, 75 nt
Filed under: Candidatus Omnitrophota bacterium
Lineage: Bacteria; Pseudomonadati; Candidatus Omnitrophota
Description: Candidatus Omnitrophica bacterium tRNA-Glu
Rfam family: tRNA
About the family: Transfer RNA (tRNA) molecules are approximately 80 nucleotides in length. Their secondary structure includes four short double-helical elements and three loops (D, anti-codon, and T loops). Further hydrogen bonds mediate the characteristic L-shaped molecular structure. tRNAs have two regions of fundamental functional importance: the anti-codon, which is responsible for specific mRNA codon recognition, and the 3' end, to which the tRNAs corresponding amino acid is attached (by aminoacyl-tRNA synthetases). tRNAs cope with the degeneracy of the genetic code in two manners: having more than one tRNA (with a specific anti-codon) for a particular amino acid; and 'wobble' base-pairing, i.e. permitting non-standard base-pairing at the 3rd anti-codon position.
Source: RNAcentral
GGCCCCAUCGUCUAGCCUGGUCUAGGAUACAUGGUUCUCAUCCAUGAGACACGGGUUCGAAUCCCGUUGGGGCUA